RNAcentral lists this ribosomal RNA (504 nucleotides) under uncultured bacterium. RNAcentral describes it as "bacterial SSU rRNA". It matches the Rfam family "Bacterial small subunit ribosomal RNA", at positions 8 to 507 of the family's 1533-position model. The record is from RNAcentral.
AGAGUUUGAUCCUGGCUCAGAAUGAACGUUGGCGGCGUGGAUUAGGCAUGCAAGUCGAAUGAAUCUCAGGUAGCAAUACCUGGGGGAAAUGGCGAACGGGUGCGUAACACGUGAGCAAUCUGCCUCGAUGUGGGGGAUAGCCGGCCCAACGGCCGGGUAAUACCGCAUACGCUCUCGUGGGGGGGCAUCACUUGGAGAGGAAACUAUUUUUGGCAUUGAGAGGAGCUCGCGGCCUAUCAGCUAGUUGGUGGGGUAAUGGCCUACCAAGGCUUUGACGGGUAGCUGGUCUGAGAGGAUGGCCAGCCACAUUGGGACUGAGAUACGGCCCAGACUCCUACGGGAGGCAGCAGGUGGGGAAUAUUGCGCAAUGGACCGAAAGGCUGACGCAGCGACGCCGCGUGGGGGAUGAAGCAUUUCGGUGUGUAAACCCCUGUUGCCCGGGACGAACAACUGGUUUUGACCAGUCUGACGGUACCGGGUGAGGAAGCACCGGCUAACUCCGUG